This is a long non-coding RNA of Caretta caretta (loggerhead turtle), 1074 nucleotides long. RefSeq lists it as uncharacterized. The record is from RefSeq and is a predicted model, not a curated record. NCBI's taxonomy places the organism in Eukaryota, Metazoa, Chordata, Testudines, Cheloniidae.
UGCAGGUCACUUCGGCUGAAUCGGGAAAAGUUGAACAAAAGUUUUCCUUUCGCUUCUUCUCUCUGGCUCUCUGCUAGGGGAGCCCCUCUCUGGUCCCGGCCCUGGGUGCCAGCUGUGGGCCUGCCAGGCUGUCCCCAGCCGCUUGUGACCACAACAAGCCCCGCUGCUCUGCUGAUGGGAACGGAGGUUGGCAAGAAGGACAGAGAAUCCGCAGGAAAACAGUCAUUUUCGACACUGACCCUUGCAUCUGGAUAGAAAACAAGUCCGAAGACUUUGGGAAGGCGAGAUAAAUAUGACUGAGUUUCUUACUGACAAAGGGGUUUGGAUGAAGCUAACUGAUAAUGGCACUUUCACUAAAAGGUCAAGUCCCAAUUAUGGAGGAUCACUUUUCAAAUGCAAUGUCUCGCUUUGCUUCAGGCCUAAACCAGAGAUCGUGGAAGGACAGAUAUAAAGUGUACACUGUCAAAAGCUUAUCCGGUCUUUACUGCAUAGCACCCCAUAUUUAAAUGUGAACUCCAGUUCAGAGCAGUUGAAUUUAUCUGUAGAGUUCUACGCAUGUUUGCACCAGUCAUGAAGACCUGCACAAAAGAUGAAUUCCUCUCAUCUGCUGCCGAACAAGUUUUUAAAAAGUGAAAUAAGAUAUGGAUUAAAAAGGAACACAGCAAAGAUGAAUUGUAAUAAAAACAGCAUCUGAUCUGUCAAACGUAUAAUUUUUACAGUGAAUGUUACAGAUUAUUAUUUAAAGUAUCAAAUAAUUUGAUAACUGUUAGAAUAGUAAAAGAAAAAGAAAAAGAAAACCCCUCGGAAUCUGAACACUACAGAGCAGUAAUAUAAUUUUCUGGGAUAAAUAACAUGAAAUCAUAGGAAUAAAUGUUCUGUCUAAUCUGAAAAUCUGCAGAUGUUCAGUAAGUAUCCAAAAUGCUCCAAUAUGUAUUCCCAAAUGACUGCGCCCACCAGUCAAUGUGUAUUUUUAUCUUCUGGCUUCUUUAGAUACACAUUAUAACUUUGAACAUCCAGAAACGACACCCUUCUAUGGCGAGGCGAAUUUCCGCCGUUGUCUUUACCCUGAAACAA